AUGAACGCUGGCGGCGUGCCUAAUACAUGCAAGUCGAGCGAACGGACGAGAAGCUUGCUUCUCUGAUGUUAGCGGCGGACGGGUGAGUAACACGUGGAUAACCUACCUAUAAGACUGGGAUAACUUCGGGAAACCGGAGCUAAUACCGGAUAAUAUUUUGAACCGCAUGGUUCAAAAGUGAAAGAUGGUCUUGCUGUCACUUAUAGAUGGAUCCGCGCUGCAUUAGCUAGUUGGUAAGGUAACGGCUUACCAAGGCAACGAUGCAUAGCCGACCUGAGAGGGUGAUCGGCCACACUGGAACUGAGACACGGUCCAGACUCCUACGGGAGGCAGCAGUAGGGAAUCUUCCGCAAUGGGCGAAAGCCUGACGGAGCAACGCCGAGUGAGUGAUGAAGGUCUUCGGAUCGUAAAACUCUGUUAUUAGGGAAGAACAUAUGUGUAAGUAACUGUGCACAUCUUGACGGUACCUAAUCAGAAAGCCACGGCUAACUACGUG
This 496-nucleotide ribosomal RNA is filed under the name uncultured bacterium. RNAcentral describes it as "partial 16S ribosomal RNA". It matches the Rfam family "Bacterial small subunit ribosomal RNA", at positions 29 to 507 of the family's 1533-position model. The record is from RNAcentral.